Ciona intestinalis (vase tunicate) is the source of this 68-nucleotide small nucleolar RNA. Its record names the gene SNORD18. It matches the Rfam family "Small nucleolar RNA SNORD18". Rfam says of the family: U18 is a member of the C/D class of snoRNA which contain the C (UGAUGA) and D (CUGA) box motifs. The record is from Ensembl. Lineage: Eukaryota; Metazoa; Chordata; Ascidiacea; Phlebobranchia; Cionidae.
GGUUAAUGAUGAGUCAACUUCAGGUCCGUGUUUUUGAAACUAAUGAUAACAACUGAAGUUCUGAAUAU